CACGUAGGGUGCGAGCGUUGUCCGGAAUUAUUGGGCGUAAAGAGCUCGUAGGCGGUGUGUCGCGUCGGCCGUGAAAACCUGCAGCUUAACUGUGGGCUUGCGGUCGAUACGGGCAUCACUGGAGUUCGGCAGGGGAGACUGGAAUUCCUGGUGUGGCAGUGAAAUGCGCAGAUAUCAGGAGGAACACCGGUGGCGAAGGCGGGUCUCUGGGCCGAUACUGACGCUGAGGAGCGAAAGCGUGGGGAGCGAACAGG
RNAcentral lists this ribosomal RNA (254 nucleotides) under uncultured bacterium. RNAcentral describes it as "partial 16S ribosomal RNA". It matches the Rfam family "Bacterial small subunit ribosomal RNA", at positions 524 to 776 of the family's 1533-position model. The record is from RNAcentral.